Molecule: ribosomal RNA, 892 nt
Filed under: uncultured bacterium
Lineage: Bacteria
Description: bacterial SSU rRNA
Rfam family: Bacterial small subunit ribosomal RNA
Source: RNAcentral
GUGCCAGCACCCGCGGUAAGACGGAGGGUGCAAGCGUUAAUCGGAAUUACUGGGGGUAAAGCGCACGCCCGGGGUCUGUUAAGUCAGAUGUGAAAUCCCCGGGCUUAACCUGGGAACUGCAUUUGAAACUGGCAGGCUAGAGUCUCGUAGAGGGGGGUAGAAUUCCAGGUGUAGCGGUGAAAUGCGUAGAGAUCUGGAGGAAUACCGGUGGCGAAGGCGGCCCCCUGGACGAAGACUGACGCUCAGGUGCGAAAGCGUGGGGAGCAAACAGGAUUAGAUACCCUGGUAGUCCACGCUGUAAACGAUGUCGAUUUGGAGGUUGUGGCCUUGAGCCGUGGCUUCCGGAGCUAACGCGUUAAAUCGACCGCCUGGGGAGUACGGCCGCAAGGUUAAAACUCAAAUGAAUUGACGGGGGCCCGCACAAGCGGUGGAGCAUGUGGUUUAAUUCGAUGCAACGCGAAGAACCUUACCUACUCUUGACAUCCACGGAACUUGCCAGAGAUGGCUUGGUGCCUUCGGGAACCGUGAGACAGGUGCUGCAUGGCUGUCGUCAGCUCGUGUUGUGAAAUGUUGGGUUAAGUCCCGCAACGAGCGCAACCCUUAUCCUUUGUUGCCAGCGGUUAGGCCGGGAACUCAAAGGAGACUGCCAGUGAUAAACUGGAGGAAGGUGGGGAUGACGUCAAGUCAUCAUGGCCCUUACGAGUAGGGCUACACACGUGCUACAAUGGCAUAUACAAAGAGAAGCGACCUCGCGAGAGCAAGCGGACCUCAUAAAGUAUGUCGUAGUCCGGACUGGAGUCUGCAACUCGACUCCAUGAAGUCGGAAUCGCUAGUAAUCGUAGAUCAGAAUGCUACGGUGAAUACGUUUCCGGGCCUUGUACACACCGCCCGG